Molecule: ribosomal RNA, 497 nt
Filed under: uncultured bacterium
Lineage: Bacteria
Description: partial 16S ribosomal RNA
Rfam family: Bacterial small subunit ribosomal RNA
Source: RNAcentral
GAUGAACGCUGGCGGCGUGCCUAAUACAUGCAAGUCGAGCGAACAGACGAGGAGCUUGCUCCUCUGACGUUAGCGGCGGACGGGCGAGUAACACGUGGAUAACCUACCUAUAAGACUGGGAUAACUUCGGGAAACCGGAGCUAAUACCGGAUAAUAUAUUGAACCGCAUGGUUCAAUAGUGAAAGACGGUUUUGCUGUCACUUAUAGAUGGAUCCGCGCCGCAUUAGCUAGUUGGUAAGGUAACGGCUUACCAAGGCAACGAUGCGUAGCCGACCUGAGAGGGUGAUCGGCCACACUGGAACUGAGACACGGUCCAGACUCCUACGGGAGGCAGCAGUAGGGAAUCUUCCGCAAUGGGCGAAAGCCUGACGGAGCAACGCGGCGUGAGUGAUGAAGGUCUUCGGAUCGUAAAACUCUGUUAUUAGGGAAGAACAAAUGUGUAAGUAACUAUGCACGUCUUGACGGUACCUAAUCAGAAAGCCACGGCUAACUACGUG